UACGUAGGGCGCAAGCGUUGUCCGGAAUUAUUGGGCGUAAAGGGCGCGUAGGCGGCUUUGCAAGUGGCGGGUGAAAUCCCUCGGCUUAACCGAGGAACUGCCUGUCAAACUGCAUGGCUUGAGACCAGGAGAGGUGAGUGGAAUUCCCAGUGUAGCGGUGAAAUGCGUAGAUAUUGGGAGGAACACCAGUGGCGAAGGCGGCUCACUGGACUGGUACUGACGCUGAUGCGCGAAAGCGUGGGGAGCAAACAGG
This 253-nucleotide ribosomal RNA is filed under the name uncultured bacterium. Its description in RNAcentral is "partial 16S ribosomal RNA". It matches the Rfam family "Bacterial small subunit ribosomal RNA", at positions 524 to 776 of the family's 1533-position model. The record is from RNAcentral.